RNAcentral lists this ribosomal RNA (506 nucleotides) under uncultured bacterium. RNAcentral's name for it is "partial 16S ribosomal RNA". It matches the Rfam family "Bacterial small subunit ribosomal RNA", at positions 30 to 523 of the family's 1533-position model. The record is from RNAcentral.
AUUGGACGCUGGCGGCAGGCUUAACACAUGCAAGUCGAGCGGUAACAGAGAGAAGCUUGCUUCUCUGCUGACGAGCGGCGGACGGGUGAGAAAUGCCUAGGAAUCUGCCUAGUAGUGGGGGAUAACUUGCCGAAAGGUAAGCUAAUACCGCAUACGUCCUACGGGAGAAAGGAGGGGACCUUCGGGCCUUUCGCUAUUAGAUGAGCCUAGGUCGGAUUAGUUAGUUGGUGAGGUAAUGGCUCACCAAGACCGCGAUCCGUAACUGGUCUGAGAGGAUGAUCAGUCACACUGGAACUAAGACACAGUCCAGACUCCUACGGGAGGCAGCAGUGGGGAAUAUUGGACAAUGGGGGGAACCCUGAUCCAGCCAUGCCGCGUGUGUGAAGAAGGUCUUAGGAUUGUAAAGCACUUUAAGUUGGGAGGAAGAGCAGUUAACUAAUAUUUGACUGUUUUGACGUUACCGACAGAAUAAGCACCGGCUAACUUCGUGCCAGCAGCCGCCGUAA